This 74-nucleotide microRNA precursor is filed under the name Myotis lucifugus (little brown bat). RNAcentral's name for it is "mir-9229 microRNA precursor family". It matches the Rfam family "mir-9229 microRNA precursor family". Lineage: Eukaryota; Metazoa; Chordata; Mammalia; Chiroptera; Vespertilionidae. The record is from Rfam by way of RNAcentral.
GAGACACCUUUCUGGGGCAAGACUUGCUUCAGUGGGGCUUUGGUGCUCCGAGUCUGCCCCCUGAGUGUGUCCCU